Molecule: ribosomal RNA, 443 nt
Filed under: uncultured bacterium
Lineage: Bacteria
Description: partial 16S ribosomal RNA
Rfam family: Bacterial small subunit ribosomal RNA
Source: RNAcentral
CCUACGGGAGGCAGCAGGGGGGAAUAUUGGGCAAUGGGCGCAAGCCUGACCCAGCAAAGCCGCGGGAAGGAAGAAGGCUUUCGGGUGGUAAACUUCUUUUCUCAGGGACGAAGCAAGUGACGGUACCUGAGGAAUAAGCGACGGCUAACUACGUGACAGCAGCCGCGGUAAUACGUAGGGGGCAAGCGUUAUCCGGAUGUACUGGGUGUAAAGGGCGUGUAGGCGGGGUCGCAAGUCAGAUGUGAAAACCACGGGCUCAACCUGUGGCCUGCAUUUGAAACUAUGUUUCUUGAGUACUGGAGAGGCAUACGGAAUUCCUAGUGUAGCGGUGAAAUGCGUAGAUAUUAGGAGGAACACCAGUGGCGAAGGCGGUCUGCUGAACAGCAUCUGACGCUGCGGCGCGCACGCGUGGGGAGCAAACAGGAUUAGAUACCCUGGUAGUC